Molecule: ribosomal RNA, 305 nt
Filed under: uncultured bacterium
Lineage: Bacteria
Description: bacterial SSU rRNA
Rfam family: Bacterial small subunit ribosomal RNA
Source: RNAcentral
GUGGACCUACGGGAGGCAGCAGUGAGGAUUAUUGGUCAAUGGGCGAGAGCCUGAACCAGCCACGCCGCGUGAGGGAAGACGGUCCUAUGGAUUGUAAACCUCUUUUGCCGGGGAGCAAAAAGCGGUACGUGUACCGCAUCGAGAGUACCCGGAGAAAAAGCAUCGGCUAACUCCGUGCCAGCAGCCGCGGUAAUACGGAGGAUGCGAGCGUUAUCCGGAUUUAUUGGGUUUAAAGGGUGCGCAGGCGGACCAUCAAGUCAGCGGUAAAAUCGUGGGGCCCAACCCCAUCCCGCCGUUGAAACUGG